ACUAAGCGUACACGGUGGAUGCCCUGGCAGUCAGAGGCGAUGAAGGACGUGCUAAUCUGCGAUAAGCGUCGGUAAGGUGAUAUGAACCGUUAUAACCGGCGAUUUCCGAAUGGGGAAACCCAGUGUGAUUCGUCACACUAUCAUUAACUGAAUCCAUAGGUUAAUGAGGCGAACCGGGGGAACUGAAACAUCUAAGUACCCCGAGGAAAAGAAAUCAACCGAGAUUCCCCCAGUAGCGGCGAGCGAACGGGGAGGAGCCCAGAGCCUGAAUCAGUGUGUGUGUUAGUGGAAGCGUCUGGAAAGGCGCGCGAUACAGGGUGACAGCCCCGUACACAAAAAUGCACAUGCUGUGAGCUCGAUGAGUAGGGCGGGACACGUGGUAUCCUGUCUGAAUAUGGGGGGACCAUCCUCCAAGGCUAAAUACUCCUGACUGACCGAUAGUGAACCAGUACCGUGAGGGAAAGGCGAAAAGAACCCCGGCGAGGGGAGUGAAAAAGAACCUGAAACCGUGUACGUACAAGCAGUGGGAGCACGCUUAGGCGUGUGACUGCGUACCUUUUGUAUAAUGGGUCAGCGACUUAUAUUCUGUAGCAAGGUUAACCGAAUAGGGGAGCCGAAGGGAAACCGAGUCUUAACUGGGCGUUAAGUUGCAGGGUAUAGACCCGAAACCCGGUGAUCUAGCCAUGGGCAGGUUGAAGGUUGGGUAACACUAACUGGAGGACCGAACCGACUAAUGUUGAAAAAUUAGCGGAUGACUUGUGGCUGGGGGUGAAAGGCCAAUCAAACCGGGAGAUAGCUGGUUCUCCCCGAAAGCUAUUUAGGUAGCGCCUCGUGAAUUCAUCUCCGGGGGUAGAGCACUGUUUCGGCAAGGGGGUCAUCCCGACUUACCAACCCGAUGCAAACUGCGAAUACCGGAGAAUGUUAUCACGGGAGACACACGGCGGGUGCUAACGUCCGUCGUGAAGAGGGAAACAACCCAGACCGCCAGCUAAGGUCCCAAAGUCAUGGUUAAGUGGGAAACGAUGUGGGAAGGCCCAGACAGCCAGGAUGUUGGCUUAGAAGCAGCCAUCAUUUAAAGAAAGCGUAAUAGCUCACUGGUCGAGUCGGCCUGCGCGGAAGAUGUAACGGGGCUAAACCAUGCACCGAAGCUGCGGCAGCGACGCUGAUGCGUUGUUGGGUAGGGGAGCGUUCUGUAAGCCUGUGAAGGUGUGCUGUGAGGCAUGCUGGAGGUAUCAGAAGUGCGAAUGCUGACAUAAGUAACGAUAAAGCGGGUGAAAAGCCCGCUCGCCGGAAGACCAAGGGUUCCUGUCCAACGUUAAUCGGGGCAGGGUGAGUCGACCCCUAAGGCGAGGCCGAAAGGCGUAGUCGAUGGGAAACAGGUUAAUAUUCCUGUACUUGGUGUUACUGCGAAGGGGGGACGGAGAAGGCUAUGUUGGCCGGGCGACGGUUGUCCCGGUUUAAGCGUGUAGGCUGGUUUUCCAGGCAAAUCCGGAAAACUAAGGCUGAGGCGUGAUGACGAGGCACUACGGUGCUGAAGCAACAAAUGCCCUGCUUCCAGGAAAAGCCUCUAAGCAUCAGGUAACAUCAAAUCGUACCCCAAACCGACACAGGUGGUCAGGUAGAGAAUACCAAGGCGCUUGAGAGAACUCGGGUGAAGGAACUAGGCAAAAUGGUGCCGUAACUUCGGGAGAAGGCACGCUGAUAUGUAGGUGAAGUCCCUCGCGGAUGGAGCUGAAAUCAGUCGAAGAUACCAGCUGGCUGCAACUGUUUAUUAAAAACACAGCACUGUGCAAACACGAAAGUGGACGUAUACGGUGUGACGCCUGCCCGGUGCCGGAAGGUUAAUUGAUGGGGUCAGCGCAAGCGAAGCUCUUGAUCGAAGCCCCGGUAAACGGCGGCCGUAACUAUAACGGUCCUAAGGUAGCGAAAUUCCUUGUCGGGUAAGUUCCGACCUGCACGAAUGGCGUAAUGAUGGCCAGGCUGUCUCCACCCGAGACUCAGUGAAAUUGAACUCGCUGUGAAGAUGCAGUGUACCCGCGGCAAGACGGAAAGACCCCGUGAACCUUUACUAUAGCUUGACACUGAACAUUGAGCCUUGAUGUGUAGGAUAGGUGGGAGGCUUUGAAGUGUGGACGCCAGUCUGCAUGGAGCCGACCUUGAAAUACCACCCUUUAAUGUUUGAUGUUCUAACGUUGACCCGUAAUCCGGGUUGCGGACAGUGUCUGGUGGGUAGUUUGACUGGGGCGGUCUCCUCCUAAAGAGUAACGGAGGAGCACGAAGGUUGGCUAAUCCUGGUCGGACAUCAGGAGGUUAGUGCAAUGGCAUAAGCCAGCUUGACUGCGAGCGUGACGGCGCGAGCAGGUGCGAAAGCAGGUCAUAGUGAUCCGGUGGUUCUGAAUGGAAGGGCCAUCGCUCAACGGAUAAAAGGUACUCCGGGGAUAACAGGCUGAUACCGCCCAAGAGUUCAUAUCGACGGCGGUGUUUGGCACCUCGAUGUCGGCUCAUCACAUCCUGGGGCUGAAGUAGGUCCCAAGGGUAUGGCUGUUCGCCAUUUAAAGUGGUACGCGAGCUGGGUUUAGAACGUCGUGAGACAGUUCGGUCCCUAUCUGCCGUGGGCGCUGGAGAACUGAGGGGGGCUGCUCCUAGUACGAGAGGACCGGAGUGGACGCAUCACUGGUGUUCGGGUUGUCAUGCCAAUGGCACUGCCCGGUAGCUAAAUGCGGAAGAGAUAAGUGCUGAAAGCAUCUAAGCACGAAACUUGCCCCGAGAUGAGUUCUCCCUGACUCCUUGAGAGUCCUGAAGGAACGUUGAAGACGACGACGUUGAUAGGCCGGGUGUGUAAGCGCAGCGAUGCGUUGAGCUAACCGGUACUAAUGAACCGUGAGGCUUAACC
This 2893-nucleotide ribosomal RNA is filed under the name Escherichia coli. Its description in RNAcentral is "bacterial LSU rRNA". It matches the Rfam family "Bacterial large subunit ribosomal RNA". The record is from RNAcentral. Lineage: Bacteria; Pseudomonadati; Pseudomonadota; Gammaproteobacteria; Enterobacterales; Enterobacteriaceae.